GAUGAUGCAAUUGCAGUGACAAUGACAUCGUGUGAGAAUCUAGCUGUUUAUAUCAAUUUCAAUGUAUUUUAUGUACUCACGAUCCUGAUCCUUCUGACUUUUUGAUUCUUUUUCAGGAAUAAAGCAUAAAUCUGCGAUUCUCAGUCGUUUACCCUACCCAAUAUGAUUAAACACAAUUUCCCAGUCUAGAUUCAUUUGUAUUUUAGCUUCAAUCAAACUAAAGACUGGGAAACUAAAAAAUAUUAGUGUCUAUCAGAAAAUGCUAAUAUUUGAGUCCUGUCUACAUUAUUGAAACAGUUAAGUAAAAUGAAUAAUUAUGUUUGGCAUCAGCUGUUAUUUAACCAUAUACCAAUUAAAAACAAUAUAUCAUUUAUUUUAUUUAUGUUUGUUCAUGGAAGAAUGCAAUUUUUUUACUUUUUAUUUUUAACUUUUAUUUAAUGAAUAUAAAUUUCCAAAGUACAGCUUAUGGAUUACAAUGGCUUCCCCCCCACAACGUCCCUCCCACCCACAACCCUCCCCUUUCCCACUCCCUCUCCCCUUCCAUUCACAUCAAGAUUCAUUUUCAAUUCUCUUUAUAUACAGAAGAUCAGUUUAGCAUACAUUAAGUAAAGAUUUCAACAGUUUGCUCCCACACAGAAACAUAAAGUGAAAAAUACUGUUUGAGUACUAGUUAUAGCAUUAAAUCUCAAUGUACAGCACACUAAGGACAGAGAUCCUACAUGAGGAGUAAGUGCACAGUGACUCCUGUUGUUGACUUAACAAAUUGACACUCUUGUUUAUGGCCUCAGUAAUCACCCUCGGCUCUUGUCAUGAGCUGCCAAGGCUAUGGAAGCCCCCUGAGUUCACUGACUCUGAUCAUAUUUAGACAAGGCCAUGGUCAAAGUGGAAGUUCUCUCCUCCCUUCAGAGAAAGGUACCUCCUUCUUUGAUGACCUGUUCUUUCCAUUGGGAUCUCACUUGCAGAGAUCUUUCAUUUAGUUUUUUCCAUUGGGAUCUCACUUGCGGAGAUCUUUCAUUUAGUUUUUUUUUUUUGUUUUUUUUUUUGUUUUGUUUUGUUUUUUUCCCCCAGAGUGUCUUGGCUUUCCAUGCCUGAAAUACUCUCAUGGGCUUAAAAAAAUUUUUUUGUUUCAUAUGAGGGUGAGAAGAAAGGAUAAGAGAUGUAACAUUUUGGACAUGACCUGUAAUUUUCUGUAGGUUGCCUAGAUGUCAACAGAUAACUCUGAGCAUCAAGGUUAUGCUGUGAUGAGUACUGGAAUUUCAACUUCAGUCCUUUGGACUCCUGACAGAGAGCCUUUUCUGCUAGGACACAUUGGUUUUGGCCCUGCUCUUUGGACCUUACAACAUUGGUUUUAUGGAAGACAGAACUCAGUGAUUACUAAUGUACUUAUUAAUUCUUUACUAUCUUAACAGUGCAGUGUCCAAAAUGAUAGAAAGAGUGGCCCACAACUGUGUUCUAUGUAUAAGGCAUUGAUUGAGUUCUGACCGCACUGAAUAUAUUCAGGGAAAGAAAGCAUAUGGUUAAGAUACCUGGACUUCAAGUCAUAUGUGUAGAAUGUAGCAUAUCUUGUGGUUAACAUGUGUUGAUCUUUACCUUCUUACAUGCUGAAAAGUAGAUAUAUGGUAAACUUAAUGUUAUCCUAAGAACAGUACAUUAAUAUUAUAAAAUUAUGAAGAAAUAGUGUCAUAAGUUGUUUUAUCAUGUCCGUGAAGGGAGAUGAUCUGGUUGUCUUCUGAGUGCUGUUUUCCCAGAACUUUGCAUGAAAACAAUGUAGUUGUUCAAUAAAUAUUUCCUAAAUGAAUUGAUGAAAUCUUGUCAGAGAUAGAAGUCCUUUUAAAGACUAACUUUGGCAUUCUAUUCUUAGAAUCAAAUAUAGCAAAUACUGUAAAGUAUGCUAGUAAGAAAAUGUAAAAGCACAAUAUUUAAUAGCAAAUUCUAAUUGGAAUACUUUUUGACAUUGUGAUCUGAUGUGAUUUGGAAAAAAGUGAAUUUCACUGGGAAAGAUCAACAACUAAUUUUGCUGUCUGCUCUUUCCAGGUCAGAAUGCUCAGUAUGGGGCAAAGAAUAGACAGAGAGGAAAUGUUUUCCUACCUACACUAACACCAGCUGGCCUCUCAAAGGUCUCUGGGCAUGUGUGACAAUCCAUCAUUCCUGUCUACUGUCUAGUUUUCCUGCAGAAGGUCAUUACCUUUGACUCUCUCCAAUAGCUCUCCUUCAGGUCUUGUUCUGAUGAAGCCUGCAGCCAGGGGGAAUACAGUUGAGCACUUGCCUUUGGCUCCUCUUCUGGACUUGGCAAGACUGUUCUCCAGGAGGGAGAGACAGAAAUUCAGCCAUGAGUAUCUUUUCCAAUUAUGUUCCUUGCCAGGCUGGAAUCUGCUCCUUGUGUAAACACCUGAGAUCCUGCUCUUCAUCUCUACAGUUUGGUGGUUUAGACACUUAUUUCCACUGCCAGAUAUGGGUUAGCUGGCUCAGUGUAGAAAACAUACAGAGCAGUGAUUAUAUAAGACAUCUCAAUCUACAAUUGUGAUCCAAAAUUCACAAUAUUCACAUCAAGAUUUUUCCAAGUGUGGCAUUCAUUCUAACACUCCUUGUAAAUGUUCCUCAUGUUCUAUAAUUACCCAAUUAACUCAUAAUGUAAACACAAGACAAGGGAAAGAUGAAAUGUUUUGAGUAAAACACACUAAUGAGCAAGAUACAAUGGAUAAUAUUAAACAUUACACUUGCUUGUUUUAUUGAUGCUUAUUAUUUAUUUAUUUUUUGACAGGCAGAGUGGACAGUAAGAGAGAGAGACAGAGAGAAAGGUCUUCCUUUUCCGUUGGUUCACCCCCCAAAUGGCUGCUGUGACGGGCGCACCACGCUGAUCCGAAGCCAGGAGCCAGGUGCUUUUCCUGGUCUCCCAUGCGGGUGCAGGGCCCAAGUACUUGGGCCAUCCUCUACUGCACUCCUGGGCCACAGCAGAGAGCUGGACUGCAAGAGGAGCAACUGGGACAGAAUCUGGGGCCCUGACCGGGACUAGAACCCGGUGUGCCGGCACCGCAAGGCAGAGGAUUAGCCUAUUGAGCCAUGGCGCUGGCCUGUUGAUGCUUAUAACCAAUGGGGUUGAUUAAUUGAUUGAUUGGCUAUUACUGUUUGUUACUAUAUCAUCUCUUACUUCCAUUCACAACUCACCUUCUACUAAAGUUUUAUUUGAGUAAUGCCUCGGAAGAUGAAAAGAUUCCAGGAAUUAUAAAGCACUGAUUUAGGGAAGUCUGGAUUGCAGAAAGACCAGCUCCAUCCCAGGCCCUGAGACAGGCAUAAUUUUCAUAUUUUACAUCUCAACAUUGAAGAUCUAUUUGAAGUUGUCUUAUUUUAAGGGCUUUCUAACAUCUCUUUCUAACACCUGUCUAGAUAAUUAACAAAGCAGUAGAAAGAGAUCAAAGUUAUGGUUAUUUUCUUGAUUCUUUACACAAAAAUGCCCCAGGUACCUGUCUGGUGUUUGAUAUAAAAAAGAAAUCUGAAACAGUCAUAUUCCUUGAUAUAUAUCACCAAUAUUUUGAGCUGCUAGCACAUUUGCCUGUUACGUCAAGGCAUCUGAAAGUUUAAAGCUUGGCAAAGCAAUGUUUUUCUUUUUCUUCUUCUAGAAUCCCAGGGUAAACAUUAAGCAGACAGCAUUUCUGCUUUGAGCAUUAGAGGGAAAAAAAGACUGAAUUUGAAAAGCCUACUAGUACACUUUGGGGAUUUCGGAAAGUGUCAUUUGGCUAGGAGCUGAGUGGAGAAGCUGCCAUUCUGUAGAGGGGAUAGGAUGGAAGCCGCAUGGCCUCAUUCAUAACUUCACAGCUACUGCAAAUAUCAGCUGAUGAAUAUUUAUGUUAUCCCUGGCUUAGACCCGAAAGACAAACAGGGGGAAAAAAAACAAAAGUUAGGAAAAGGUCGUCUGAACUCUGUGGGAUUUUUUACCAACACUUUCCAUGCGCGAGCAGUAGCCCUGAAUGAAGUCAUUCUGUGCAGGGGCCCAGCACAGGAAGACAGGGUCUGUUCAUUAGUGCCCCGCACUUUGUUUGAACCUUGUACAUUCAUGGGGUCCUGAAAAGGAAACCCUUUCCUUAAAUCAAACAUACAGGAUAUAGCGCUACCUUACUUUUUUUUUGGGGGGGGGGGAAAUUAUUGCAAAUUGCUCCUCAUUUUAAAGUAACUUCGAUGGUUCAAAGAAAGAGCAAGUCAGUUAAGGGGAGCUUAAUACAUUUUUUAAAAGGAUAAUUCCAGUCCAAGUUAACACUGUGUUGAGUUCAGUUUCAGAAAAUAUUUUGAAAUUUAUGAGAAUACUUCAAAAUGUUUGAGAAAAAUGGAAUUGGAAGAUAAAGCACAUUUUCCAUGAAUAUAUGGAAGAUCCCAUGUAUACAAAUAAUGUCAUUAUAUAUAACUCUACUGAAUAUCAUAGUAAAAGAAAAAUUUUAGAAAAAAUUUUUUCUUUUUUUAUUUUUUAUUUAGUAAAUAUAAAUUUUCAAAGUACAGUUAAUGGAUUACAAUGGCUCCCCCCCCAUAAUUUCCCUCCCACUCCCACCCCUCCCAUCUCCUGCUCCCUCUCCCAUUCCAUUCACAUCAAGAUUCAUUUUCAAUUCUCUUUAUAUACAGAAGAUCAAUUCAGUAUGUAUUAAGUAAAGAUUUCAACAGUUUGCACCCACACAGAAACACAAAGUGUAAAAUACUGUUUGAGUACUAGUUAUAGCAUUACUUCACAUUGGACAACACACUAAGGACAGAUCCCACAUGAGAAGUAAGUACACAGUGACUCCUGUUGUUGACUUAACAAUUUGACACUCUUGUUUAUGGUCUCAGUAAUCUCCCUAGGCUCUGGUCAUGAGUUGCCAAGGCUAUGGAAGCCUUUUGAGUUCGCCGACUCGAUCUUAUUCUGACAGGGUCAUAGUCAAGUGGAAGUUCUCUCCUCCCUUCAGAGAAAGGUACCUACUUUUUUGAUGGCCCCAUUCUUUCCACUGGGAUCUCACUCGCAGAGAUCUUCCAUUUAGGUCUUCUUUUUUUUUUUUUUUUUUCCAGGGUGUCUUGGCUUUCCAUGCCUGAAAUACUCUCAUGGGCUCUUCAGCCAGAUCCAAAUGACUUAAGGGCUGAUUCUGAGGCCAGAGUGCUAUUUAGGACAUCUGCCAUUCUAUGAGUCUACUGUGUAUCCCGCUUCCCAUGAUGGAUCGUUCUCUCCCUUUUUGAUUCUAUCAGCUAGUAUUAGCAGACACUAGACUUGUUAUGUGAUCCCUUUGACUCUUAGACCUAUCAGUGUGAUCAAUUGUGAACUGAAAUUGAUCACCUGGACUAGUGAGAUGGCAUUGGUACAUGCCACCUUGAUGGGAUUGUAUUGGGAUCCCCUGGCAGUUGUUUUCUAAAAUGUUCUAGAGAUUUUAGUCUUAUUUCAGAAAAAAAAAAAUACCUCUUGAGCUGCAUUGUAGAAGAAUUGAUCAUUUGAGAUUUACAUACUACCUCCCACUGUGUUCUCAUCCACAAAUGUCACCAUUGUCCUCUGCUGCCAUGUUUGCCAUCUUUACCAACUUCAGAUUGAUCUGAUGUUAUGGAAACAAGAAAGGGAAACUCAUCAAGGUGAGAGAACUUUUCUAUCUGCCAAAUAUUAUUAUUGUCAGUUUUGGUUUGAGAAAAGAGGUUCAAAAAUUUUACUAUUAUGAAAUUAUGACUGUCUUGUGGAUUUCUGUGAUGUAAACAAACUGAUUUCUUAGCACUUGUGGAGAAGUAGGUGUCCUCACUGGGAAUCCUCAGAAUAUUUUCCUUGAGAUGAGGAUUGGGUACUUGGGAUUAAGGAGGAAAUACUGACGGAAAGGAAGGAGAAGUACAGUGAGAAAACCAGAUACAGAAUGGUUGAGGUAGCCAAGGGAAGUUCCAACUUUGACAGAAUUAUGCAAGGAGGUCUAGAUUAUAGUUGUAUGUGAGAAUUUGUCCACACAUGAGGCAAGGAAGUUAUACUUUUAUAGUUCUAUAAGGUAAGAUAUUGGCUAAGCGUUAUCCAUUGAUUGGUGUUGGAUGGUGCAAUGGCUGACUAUCAUGACAUACAUCCAUGACAUAGGGAAUUCAAGAGCCUCUAAAUGAAGCCCAGCCAUGUAUCCUACAGCAGGCAUUAUCCUAUAAGCACUACUGGGAAACAAAUUGGUAUUUGUGGAACUGAGGAGAGAAAUCACAGAAGAGGUAUGUAUUUCAUUCUCCACAUAAAAUUCUUAGUCAUAGGGUCUUAAGGACUGUGAUGUGUAGGUCCAGGACUAGUUAAGACUUCAAAGAAAAAUUGGGAGGGAGAUAUUAGCACUUAAGUGACAUGUGAAAUUUGUAAAGUAGAUUUGAACAAAAUGCCUGUAGAUUGUACAUGAGCAGUCAGUGAAUCUCUUUCAACAUGCUCCUUCCCAUGAUUCUGGAAUGUCUAAUUCUGAAGGCAUGUUGCACAAAUAUAAUGAAGACUGAGGGUGAACAUUCCCUAAGACCACCCAAGAUUUGUAGAAUCCUGUAUUUAUUUUGCUUCAAUUUUUAAGAGUUAACUACCCAAAUAAUAACUACCCAAAGUGAACAGUGAAUAAUCUGAAAAAUUCCACCUUUUUCAUCUUCCUUUCUUGGCUUAUAAACAUAAAGGGGGGCUUUUUCUCAGGUUUCUCAAAAAAGCAAAAGAGUGAGUGAGAAAUUGGCCCAUUGACUAGAUUGGGCAGGUCUACUUGGUGAAUGUUGAGAGUAGAUUUAACUUGGAGUGUCAGCAGUGACAUACACUCUGUUUUCAUUGUUGAUUCUUUGGUUGUUUUACUCAGCUUUUCAAGACCCUCAUGGAGAAGGCUCACCUAAGAGGACUUUUAUAGGAGUGUGUUUUGUUUAAAAUGAUACAUUAUUCAUAUGAAGGGAUAUCUUGCAUGGCCCCUGAUGCAUUUCUACUCAGGGGAAAUGAGGACCUGAAGGAAAGAGUUCUAGCCAGAUAGCUAUAAAAGGAUCUGGCAGAAUAUUAUAGGGGCAGGUACAGAACAUAAAUUUUCUUACUACUAUUGAUUGCUCUUUUAGAAAACAAUUGAGAUGCCAGCCUUUUGGUAAUUCUUAAACUCUUUAAAUGUCAUCCAAGUUACUAUUUGGUCAUGACUUUAAGUGCUGGGAGACCUCCUUUAAAAUGCAAUUCAGGCCAAUUGCUCAAGUCAGGGCCACAAUUAAACAUCAUGGUUAUCUUUGGAUAUAAUUAGGGGACAUCUAAAAUAAAAAAAUAAAUAGAUAAAUAAUGACAAUAGGGAUAAUGUCAAGGGAAAAAUAAGGAAAUGCUAUUUCUGAAUUGUUUACUGUGAGCAAAGAUUGAUGGUUGAAGAUAGAAAAAUUCACUAAAACUAAGCACUGUAAAACUAUGACUGAAGCAUUGAAGCUAUAGAAAAGUGGAUUUAUGGCAUGCUAAAGGAAUAAUAUUUAUACAAACUCUAUAUUAAAAAGUGGCAUGGAUCAAAAAUAUGGCUUGGUUUGUGACAUUUUAGCCCUCAUUUUAUUAUAGGUUUUGAGGUUUGAGGGAGAGCUUACCUAAGCAUUUAAACUACUGGUUAAGUAAUUUUAUGUACAUCUUUAGACUUUUAUAUGACUGAUGAGAGCAAUUACUCAAGUGUAUAACACUAAUGAGGAUUCUGAGUCCUGGAAUAUUGUGGGCAUUUGAUAAAGAUUUGUUGAAUGAGUGAAUGAAUGAAUGAAUUUUCUAUGAAUUAUGAACUUCCCUGAAAGGUAAUAACAAGACCAAAUGCUAAAACUAUUUUUGUUGCAUGAAAUCCAUAAAGAUUAAGCAAUCACCAUCUAUUUCUAAAAUAACUUCAAUCAGAAAUCGGUCCAGUUAGAUUUUACCUCCAAAUUCGGAACUAGGCCGCAUAAUGGAGACUAGAAUACUUUGCCUUUUACUGAACUGACAAUAUGUGGUUUCAAUUAUAAGAUUAUACAAAGCUAAAGACUCAUAAGCCUUUAGAUCUUUGUUCAUGUUUGCUUCUCUUACUGUCCCUAUUUCUUAAUCGAUUUGGCUAAUGAUUGGUUAAUAGGGAUCAAACAGGUUCACGCUUAGGGCUUCAUCAUUCUUGGUUCCUUACAAACCAUGCACAUCUUGUUUAGGUGAUCCUGUCUCCCUUCUUGUGCUCCUGAAGCUUUCCAUCACAACUGUAUUCCUGUUGUGCCAUAAUUUCUUACAGGUGUAUCUCCCUAUCAUGAUGAGCUGUUGGAGGAAAGAUCCUUUGUCUUUCUGAUCAACACAGUAGGCUGAGAUUUUUUUUUUUUAGAGUGCCAUAACUGGUAGACAAAGACAUACAAGAAACAAUUGUUAAAUAAAUAAACUUCAGUGUCCAAGAAUAAUAUUAGCUAGAGAAUGAUCUAAAGAAAGGCAAUGAGAAAAUUACUGAUGUGGUAAAUAUUAAUGUGGCAAGACAGCCAUCAAUGUUGUGAAGGUUUUUACAGCUUCUCCCUUCUUUUGCUUUGGUUGGCCCUUGCUUCUGGCAUCAUAAAUCACAUACAAUAAAUAUUCUUCCUGUAGGUGGCAAUAUUUGAACUCCUCUUUUUGGGGGAGAGGUGGAUGUCAUAAGAACAAAUGUAUGGCACUUUGAAGACAGAUAAGAAUUUAAUUUGGAGUGUGAGAAGAAGAGGCAGCAUUCAGAACUGCACAUUUAUUUACUGGCAUCAUGGAGUCUCUCAAAAAUGAUGUCUAGAGCAUUUGACAUGGAUGAAAAUUCAGAUUAGAAGAGUACUCAAAGAUUGCUUGUAGAACAAUCCCAAGCCACCCUUCAUAAUAAAUUGUGGCCAUUAAAAUAUGCAUCAAGUAACUGUUAUCCUUGUACUCGAUACUUGCCAAUUAAAAAUCUAUUAUUUUAUGUGCAGUAUAUUUGAAGCAGAAGCUAUCAUUCAUGUUAGUUAGCAAACACUUUAUUUUCAAAAUAAGUAGAUUGAUAUAAACAUAUAAUGUGGCCGGCGCCGCGGCUCACUAGGCUAAUCCUCCGCCUAGCGGCGCCGGCACACCAGGUUCUAGUCCUGGUUGGAGUGCCGGGUUCUGUCCCGGUUGCCCCUCUUCCAGGCCAGCCCUCUGCUGUGGCCAGGGAGUGCAGUGGAGGAUGGCCCAGGUGCUUGGGCCCUGCACCCCAUGGGAGACCAGGAAAAGCACCUGGCUCCUGGCUCCUGCCAUCGGAUCAGCGCGGUGCACUGGCCGCAGCGCGCCGGCCGCGGCGGCCAUUGGAGGGUGAACCAACGGCAAAGGAAGACCUUUCUCUCUGUCUCUCUCUCUCUCUCACUGUCCACUCUGCCUGUCAAAAAAAAAAAAAAAAAAAAAAAACAAAAAAAAAACAAAAAAAAACAUAAUGUGUGAGAGUAGAGAAUAUUUUAUACUGUUUUUUGAAAAAAAUGGUGUCAUAUAUUGUAAGUUAAAAUAAACUUUUAUUAUUAUACUUUAAUGCAGUAAAAUUCCCUCUUUUUUUACUUCUAGGAGUUUUGACAAAUGCAUAGUCAUGUGAUCACCAUCUCAGUCAAGAUAUAAAAGUUUCCUCACUCCCCCAAAUUCUCCAGUAACUUCGUAGUUAAGUUUUCCUUUCUCCCAAGCAAUUUCUGAUCUAUUUUCUGCCCCUAUAAAUUUUUACUUUUCUAGAAUGCCAUUCAGCGGAAUACUACAGUUUGUAGCUCUUUGAGACUGAUUUCUUUCAUUUAACAUAAUGCCUUUGAGAUUUGUCUGUGUAGUUAGGUAAAGCCACACUUCCUUCAUUUUUUUCCAUUCAGCAGUAUUCCAAAUGCCAUAGUUUAUCCAUUUACUUACUGAGGGGAAAUUUUUUGUGAUUACAAAUAAAGGUGCUAUAAAUAGUCAUGUUCAGUUAGUUUGUUUUUUGAAAAUGUAAAAUUUCCUUUCAUUUGUUUUAAAUAACUAGAAAUAGGAUUGCUUGUCAUAUAGUAAGUAUUUAGCUAUGUAAAGAAAUUGUCAAACUCUUCCAAAGUGCUUAUGCCACUUUCUUUCCACUAGAAAUAUAAAAGAUUGUCAAUUAGUUUGCUUCUUUUGGUAUCAUAUUUCAAAAUAUUAAAUAUUCUUACAGAUUUACAGUGUUACAUCACUGUGGUUUUAAUUUCCAUUUUCAUUUUGAGUGCUAAUAUUGAGUACUCUAUUCUUUUGAUCACUUUUUGAUUUUCUUUAUAUUACUAUAUUUUAUGUUAUAUAUAGUAUAUAUAUAUAUGUCAUAUAUUUAUUUGAAAAUCAGAGUUACAGAGGGAAAGAGAGAGAGAGAGAGAGAGAGAGAGAGAGAGCUUGCAUCUGCUUGUUCACUCCCCAGAUACCUGAAAGGCCAGGGUUGGGCCAGGCUGAAAUCAGGAGCCAGGAGCUUCGUCUGGGUGUCUCACGUGGGUGGCAAGGGCCCAAACACUUGGGCUUUGUUCCACUGCUUUUCCCAGGCCUUUUGCAAGGAGCUGGAUCAGAAAUGGAGCAGCUAGGACAUGAACUAGUGCCUAUUUGAGAUGCCAGCAUCACAGGCAGCUUUACUUACUAUGCCACAAUGCCAGCCUCAAGUUCAAUAUAUAUUUUUGAUACAAAUUAUUUUUCAUAUAUAUGAGUUGAAAAUAUUUCUUCCAGUUGUAGCUUGUCUUUUCAUUGUGUUAACAGUGUCUGUAAAGGAGCAGAUAAUUCUCAAGUUUUUUUUUUUUUAAAUUGUAUGUAUCAUGUUUUUCUGUAAUGAUUGUGCUUUUUGUUGUCAAAUCCAAGAUUUCUUUUCCUAACUCCAGGCCACAAAGAUUUUCUCCUCUGGGCUCUUUUAUAUUUUCAUUGUUUUUAAAUUAGAUUUGUAAUAUUUGUUUAAUUUUUUUACAAGGUAUGGAUUGAGGUUACAUAUAUUUUACAUAAUUUUUCCAAAAAAGAUCUUCUAUUCAUUCUUGAAUACUAUAGCAGGCAAAUUUCUUUUUAAAUCUUGAAAAUGUGAAAGUUGGGUUAUACAUUUGGUGCAGAAGUUAAGAUGCUGUUUGGAAAGCCUGCAGCCCUUAUCAGAGUUCCUGGUUCUAAUCCAGCUUCCUAGAUGUGCGCCUGGGAAGAAGUACAUGAUGCCUCAAGUACUUGAGACCUUGAGAUCCACGUGAAAGAUCUGGAUUGAAUUCCUGGCUCGUGGCUUAGGUUUGGUCCAUCUCCGGCUGUUGUGGACAUUUGGGGGAGUGAACUAGUGAUUCGAUGGUCUCUGUUUCUCUCUCUGUUUUUCAAAUACAUAAAUAUUUUCUUAAGACAAGAAGAAAUGUGAAUGCAAUUUUCUUUAUAAAUGGGAGAUCUGAGAAUCUGUUGAAUGCUUGAUGAAUUCAAUUAAACUUCCUGAGCUUUUAAAUUUAUCUAAAAAUGUGGAAAUAUGCUAACAGAAUUCUAAAAUCUUUCUGUGCCCUUCCUUUACCUACUUUUUCCUAUUCUUCCCCCAUACAUUUCUCAGUGGUUUUCACCCUCUCUCCCUUCCCUUCUCCCAUUUCCCUAUCUGGGCAGUAGAUGGUGCUGUGCUGCAAUACAUCUAUUUGGUGCUUUCACACAGUGUUUAAAUAGAAUAUGUCAUCCUGUAAUUCCACACCUUAUGCCUACACUUUGAGAAACUAUCAUUAAACUGUUGCUGUUCACACCCCGUGCUCUUGGAGGUGCAGAAUCCCUGAUAGGGGUCAGGUCACUGUAACUUGUAUAUAUCUUCACUUCAAAACUUGUCAGGAGAUAAAGGCUUUUAAAUAAGAAGGAAUUUAAAAAAAAAAAAAAAAAAAGCAAUGAUGGUGGUGACCCAGCAAGCCCACACUAUGGUUCAAUAGGACAUUUGAGUUGAUGUUUGUUUAUCUGAGAGCAAAAAUAUGGAUGGCCACGAAGAACCAGGGGCUAGGAAGCCCCUUUGCCCAAAAUAAAAUUGCAAGGUUAAUGUGUUUGUGAACCACAGAGCCAGCUGCCUGUCCUUGCCCAAUAUGACUUUUGUGGUGGCAGCUGUUUCUACUGAGAUUUGAUGAGGACAGAACUGGAGGUUGUGGGAUAGGAGGUUGUGGAAGUGGGAGAUGGAUCAUAAGAAUGAACUCUGGUUUCUUUAGAAAGGGAACCCAUGGGAUUUAGAUAAUCUCACUUGCACGUAGUGCGCGAGAAGAGGUGGGUAUAUGUGGUCACCAGCUUCGUAUCCUCAGUUGAUGAAUUAAAAGUCAGGGCAUGGGCUGGUGUCGUGGUGUAGCACGAGGUAAAGCUGUUGCCUGCUAUGCUGGCAUUCCAUAUGGGUUCUGGUUCGUGUUCCAGUUGCUCCACUUUUGAUCUAGAUCCCUGCUAAUGGCCUGGGAAAAAGCAGCAGAGGAUGGCCCCAGUCCUUGCUACUACAUGGGAAACCUAAAGGAAGCUUCUGCCUCCUGGUUUUGGCUUGGCCCAGCCCUGGCUGUUGUGACCAUCUGGGGAGUGAACCACCUGAUGGAAGAUCUCUUUCUCUUUUUCUCUCUGUAACUAUGACUUUAAAAUAAAUAAUCAUAAAAUAAUAAUGAGUGCUUAAUUUUCCGAAAGCUUAACAAGCUUACAUUUUACAGAAAAGGCACUAUAUUCACUUGCAAAACAAUCAUUUCUUAUUUUCCUCUGGCCCAAGAACCCUGACGGUACUGGGUAUUCACAUUUCCUUUCACUUAGUUUUCCACUGGCCAAAUGAAAUGCCCAUCUUGGACAUCAUCCUGGGAUAUCAUGUAGAAAUAGUAAUGAUAUUCACUUGAUAGGGCUUUAUGGUUUCAUGAAGCAAUUCACACAUAUAGACAAUUAUCCCUUUCCUUAGAAAAUAGAGAUUCCAAUGAAGACAUUGGAGGUGAAAGUCAGAGAAGGUAAUUGGGAAAGAAACGCAUAGGCUGAUGCUGUUGCUAUUCAGGCUGGGAUUUGGUGCAGUGGUUCGACCCUGCUUGGGACACCUGCAUCCCAUAUUGGCAUGCCUGCUUUGAGUAUUGUUUCCACUUGUGGCUUUAGCUUCUUGCUGCGUGCGUCAUAGAGGCAGCAGAUGAUGACUCAGGUACUUGAGUUUCUGUGACCCUGGUAGGAGACCUGGAUUGAGUUCCAGGCUCCUGGCUUUGGCUUGGCUCACCAAUGACUGUUGUGGGCAUUUGGGGAGUGAACCAAGGGAUGCAGGAUCUGUCUGCCUGUCUCUCUCUCUCUUUGCCUUUCAAAUGAAAUGAAAUGAAAUACAAAUAUAAAACAUGCACUAAUGCUUACUGCUAUUCUUGUGUAGAUCUGCAUGUGGGUGUUUCAACCUAAUAAAUCCAAACCUGAGCCUCUGAUAAGCAACCUCAAUUAGCUUGAUUUCCUAUCUUUUUCAUCUUGAUAAAUUACAAUGCUAACCUUUCAGUAGUUAGGCCCUCAAACUUUGAAGUUGUCUUUGACUCCCUUUCUCCUACCAUGCACCUGAAAUACAAGCAAAACCUAUUGGUUCUGCUUUUAAUAUAUAUUCAAAAUCUUAAAGCUUCUUACUGCCUUCCAUGGUACAUCUAAGUCUAAUCAACCACUAAUUCUUAGGAAUUAGGACAGCAGUUUUCUAACAGAUUUCCUUAAUCUAAUUUCAGCAUAAUAGCCACAGCAGUGCUAUUAAGAUAUAUGAUAGAGGGGAACAGGCGUUGAGCAAGCAGUUAAGGUACAGCCUACAAUGGAGGGUCAAAUUCUAUGCCUGGCUAAGUCCCUACUCUAGCUUCCUGCUAUGCAGACCCUAGGAGACAGUGAUGAUGAUUCAAGUAAUCUGGGUUCCUGCCAUCCCUGUGGGAGACCUACAUUGCUUUCCAGCUCCCAGCUUCAUCCUGAUUCAUGCCCAGUCCUGACUGGGCAUUUGGGAGGUGAACCAGAAGAUGGGACUUGUCUCUUUCUAAAUGAAAUUUUAAAAAAGGAACAAGUUAUACCUUGUCAUUGCAUUGCCAGGAGUCUUACAAUGGCCUUCUAUUUCAUACUGAAGAAGAGAAAUGGCCUCCCAAUGGCCAUCAAAGCCCCAUCUGACUGUCCUAUGGACACUGUACUGAUGUCCAUCCUUCCUUUACUUAUGCCACUUCAGCAGUCUUAGUGUUCCAAGUACCCUCCAGGUAUGCCCCUGUGUUGGAAUCUAUUCACUUGUCCUUUUCCUUGAGUGAUUUUUCCAGAUCCAGAUAUGAUUUACACUCUCAUUUCCUUCACACUUUAUUCAUUGCCACCUUCUUACUCUGGCCUAACCUGGUUACUGAAUUGAAAAUUUGACCAAUCCCUAACACUUCCUAACCUUUCCUUGGCUUAAUUUUCCUCUUCAGCAUUUAUUACAAAUGUGCUAUAAUUUGUGUUUAUUUGUCUUGCUUAAGUUCCUAGAAUACAAACUCCACCAGGACAGGAAUUCUUGUCCUUUCAAAAUAUCCCCAGAGGCAUUAGAAGAGCUUGACACAUAGCAGGCACCUGACAACUGACUAUAACUGACUGAUAACUCAUGAAUGAAUGAGUGUUCUCAACCUCACUCCCAUGGCAAGUCUGUGGUUCUAGGAGAACCCCCAAAGAAGAAAGACUGGAGCUGGCACUGUGGUGCACUGGGUUAAGCCAUGGCCUACAGUGCUGGCAUCCCAAAUGGGUACCAAUUCAAGUCCAGGAUGUUCCACUUUUUUUUUUUUUUUUUUUGACAGGCAGAGUGGAUAGUGAGAGAGAGACAGAGAGAAAGGUCUUCCUUUUGCCGUUGGUUCACCCUCCAAUGGCCGCUGCGGCCGGUGCUCUGCAGCCGGCGCAUCACUCUGAUCCGAAGCCAAGAGCCAGGUGCUUCUCCUGGUCUCCCAUGCGGGUGCAGGGCCCAAGGACUUGGGCCAUCCUCCACUGCACUCCCUGGCCACAGCAGAGAGCUGGCCUGCAAGAGGGGCAACCGGGACAGAAUCCGGUGCCCCGACCGGGACUAGAACCCGGUGCUACAGGCAUAGGAUUAGCCUAUUGAGCCGCGGUGUCAGCCCAGGAUGUUCCACUUCUGAUCCAGCUCCCUGCUAAUGCAUCUGGGAAAGCAGCAGAGGAUGGCUCAAUUGCUUGGGCCCCUGCACCCACCUGGGAGACAAAGAAGAAGUUCCUGCCUCCUGCCUCCUGCCUCCUGCCUCCUGCUUCCUGGCUUUGGCCUGGACCAGCCCCAGUCAUUGUGCAGAUAGAAGAUCCUCCCCCUCCCCUCAGAUCCUCUCUCUCUCUUUCUUUCUCUCCCUUCUCCCCCCCCCCCCCCCAUAACUCUGCUUUCAGAUAAUUAAAUCUUUGGGGGAAAAAGAAGAAAGGCUAAUGCUCAACUAGAUUCCUGGAAUUAGAACAUUUUCUGAUGUAAGGACUAAACAUUUCCAAUGAACUCAAUACUCCACUGUCACUUCAUGAAAAAUACAAUUUCAUGGUGUAACUCCUGGAGAUUCUGAUUCAAUAGGUCUGAGAAUCCAUGUUUUUAUGUGUUCCCAAACAAUUUUGAAUCUUAGCUUUAUUUGAAGACCCACUGGCUUAGAGAACAGUUUCUCAUUAACUAAAAAACUAUUUAUUGAAUAUAUGCUUUGUUUUAGAAACUAUGCCACAGAAUGGCUGUGACCUGAAGCCUUGUAGGAGAGUUGGAGAUGUAAAAUUACAUUUGCAAUGUAGAAUAAUAAAUGCUUUCUUGAGGCAUUUAUUAAUUGCAUGGGUUGCAGAAGACAAAAGAAGGAUGGAACUGAAGUGGAUCUGAAGAAUUCUCAGAAGCAAAUUCAUGAUGAAGAGGAGAUAACAAGGCAGGCAAAGGAUAGAAGACACUGUAGACAGGGAAAUGUCUUGGUGUCUGAAUUCGGGGCAAUUGCUACAUUCCUGAUAUCUGCGUAGAAUAUCUCCAAGUCAUGCUCUAAAUCUAAGGAAUGGGGAAAUGAGGCUGCCUUCCAUUUUCCCAAAAUAUCUUCACCUCUCUUUUUCAUAGCAUUCUCUUCCAGGUGUCCAGGAGUCUAAUGUAUGUCUUGAAAUAAGAAAACAUGUUUCAAGGUUCUUUAUUUAGUUUUCCUUUUAAAAUGGUAUGGUGAAGUCCCUCCUGAUCUAAAGUAACUAAUAGAUUUCUGGAGUGUUCACAUUUCAACAAAAAGAAGGCAGCCCUUAGUAAUAAAUGAAAUCAGGCAGGCAUUAGUGACAGCCAACAGGAAGAGAUCCUUUUGGGUUUGAAUCUACAAUUUUUCUGAUGUUACCUCAUAUUAGGAAGACCAUAAGUUGGUGCAGAAUUGAUCUCUGGUGAUUCUAUGCUAAUUCACCCUAACAAUGGGGGAAAUGGUAACCGCCAUCAUUUCUUCCAAACUUUGAUGUAAGUCUGUAUGUGUCAAAUCAAUAGUCCACAUUUCUUUUUCUGUAAAGCAAUAGGUAAUACAUAUUUUAUGUUCUGUGGGUCACUUAGUUUCAGUUAAAAGUACCCAAUUAUGUAAUUAUAGUGUGAAAGAAGCCAUACAUACCUAAAUUAAUUAGGGUGACUGUGUUCCAAUACAACUUUAUUUACAAAACAAGUGAUUAGCUAAAUUUAGUCUGCAGAUCAUGGUUUUCUGACCCCUGCAUUAAAUUUAAAGGAACCUCUUCUGUUCUUAUUCUAUUGGCAAAAGUCAGUCACAUGUCCCCACUUAGAAGCAGAGUGUCAGAGGGAUGGAAUUUGGCUAUGUGCCCAGGGAGAGAAAACUGUUGAGCAUCUGGCCAGUUUCUGAAAUAUCACGUAUCAGGUAUAGUCUUCAUUGGCAUUUUACUGAGACAGACACACAGCUGUCCAGUUCCAACUUGCUGAAGGUCAAGAGUGUUCCUUUACAGGACAUCAUAGCACAAGUUUUCUAAGCAGCCCUCAUAAGUUUUUAUCUUAAAAUUUUAAAUAUUUAUUUUUUGUUUAUUUGAAAUGCAGAGAAACAGAGACAGAUAUAGAAAUAAAGAGAUCUUCCUUCUGCUGGUUCAAUAGUUCUGCAGCUUGCAACAAUAAAAAAUCUGAGCAAAUUGAAGCAAGGAGCCUGGAAUUCAAUUUGGUCUCUCACAUAGAUGGCGGGAAACCAAGAACUCAAACCAUAACCUGAUGCCCCCCUAUCAUGUGCAUUAGCGGGAAGCUUGGAUGGCGAACAGAGCUAGGACUUGACAGAGCUAGCCCUCUGACUUGGGUGUGGGUGUCCCAGGGAGCAUUUUAGUGACUGUGACAAAUGUCUAACCUACUCUCACAUGUUUUCUAAGCUACUUUAUCCUUUAGUUUGGGAAAUGGUGGACAUGUUUUGCUUAAAAUUAUCUUAGAUCUGGUAUAGAUCAGGUUGAAAGGUUUUAUUUCUAGGCACAAAGAUGAGUGUUAUCCCAGGAAGAUGACUGAAGUACAACAUAGUCUCUACUGGUAAUGAGCAGUCAUUUCUAGAGAGCAAAGGUAAGGAACACUCAUUGUUAGCUCAACCUUCAAACAUCAGCUGGGAGUGAAUCUUCUUUGGGUAUUGUUUUCCUUUCUUGACUCCUUCUGAAAUCCCUGGAGAUCGGUGGAAAUCUUGUUCUGAAAAUGUACAUUCAAAGAUCUAACUACGUUAGCAGCAAUUUGUGAUAAAAUAUGUGUUUCCUUGAAUCUUCAAAAGAUUUCCAUUUAAUAUAUUGCGAGCUCAGAAAUAAGAGUUCUUUCAGCAGCCCUGUGAUAUAAGCAGAGAAGAGAUUCAACUAAAAAUUAUAUAUACAUAAGAGAUGCAAGUGAUCCUCACUAUCCCAGCUCUCAAAUUGUCAUAUUUUAUGAUUGUAUGAUAGAAGUAGUACAGUAAGGACUAUAAUCCUGCACUCUUCCCCUUACAUCUGGGAAACCCUGGAGACUUGUUUUGCCCAACAAAAUGUAUUGAAAGUGAGAGUGCAGACUUGUACCAUCUGCCCUUUCUCAAAACCCCACUGCUUCCUUAUGCAAAAGCCAGAGGGUAGUCCAGGGGAAGAUAAGAGAGAACAAGGAGUAUGGAACAAUUGUCCCAGCUGAUGCUUUCCUGGAUGUACCAGCCUGUCAGUGCCUCAAGAUUCUGACAGAGCCCAGGAAGGCAUUGCUUAGAUCAGCAGGAUGGCCUGGUUGAAUGUAUGUUUAUGGAGCUGUUUGAUCACUUAUGUGUGAUAUUUAUUGUAAGAGAAAACUUUGAUCAUACAGGCUUGAAAAGCAGAAUUUUAUUUGUAUUGCAGUUAUUGGAAGGAUGACAUUAGGUACAAGGCAUGUGCAGUGCUUCAAAAUGACCUAUGUGACUGAGUUAUCACAAUUUCCACAGCGAACAUAAUGUGCUGGCUUUUAUUCACUCAUUAGUAACUACCUAGUUGCAAGAUGGAUGGUUCAUUUCCAUUAUAUAAUGGUGUUCAAGGUGUUUUGAAGAAGAUGGGCAAAGAGAAGGAGAGUAGUAGCUGUCCCUUUUUCUAGAGAAGUGACAGCCUUUCUAGAAUCCUCAUUUUAGCAGUUUUUUGUUGAUGUUCCAUUGGCUGGAUGAUGCUACAUGGUUAUCCUUUGGCUGGAAGGUGUUUAGGAAUGAGGAAUCUGUGUGACUGCCACAGAAAGAAAUAUAAAACUGCUGGCAGGUUAUGCAUAAUGAUGUUAUUUUUCAGGGAAAGCUUCACAAAGUCAACAAUAUUGGGCAUGACAAUGAACUCAGGUGGAAAAGAUGGGAAGGUAUUCUGCAGGGGGAAGCUACACAUAUCAAAGUUACAUAUAGUAACAAAGCAAUAUAUCCAUUUCAGAAAUUCAAAAUCUGCAGUCAAGGCCCAUAGAAGCACAAAUAUUUGCUCAAAAUAAUAAAGCUGUAAAUUGAGUAGACAGGUCUCAAAAGCACUUCUUCAGAUGUAUGGUCCAGGGUCCUAGGUGGCCUUGCAAAAAUGGAAACAAUUCUUAUGAUCUUUGAGUAUUUUGUCCAUGUGCCCUUUAUUACACUGAAAUGUACCUAUUUCUUUUCACCAAAGAGUAGACCAGAGAGCCGUAUUGUUAUUAGCUAGUGAAUUUGUGCACAUUUUACCACAAUUUUCUGUAGAACACUGCCAAAAUCAUUACUCAGUUACUCAUAAAAAUCACCUCUGAUUCACCCUGUCCAUGCAUAUGAGCUCUCUCACAUCUAUUACAUUGCAGACAUCUAUUCAUUUUACAAUAAUAACCCUGUAUAUCUAUUGCAUUCAUAUCUGCCAGUUUAAACCCCCAUUACCAUGAGAGAUUUAAAUGCAAUAACUUAAAUUUUUGCCUGUUUCCUUGGGGCCCCUCAAGUCCAUCCUGCAUCUGAACUUUACGUGGGUCUUUCUAAAACAAAGCUCAAGUCAGGAAGACACUGGUCACACCAUCUAUCUAUCACUACACUGCCUGAAAUUCACUCCAGAAAUUUUUGUACCUUUUUAUUUUGGGAGAUACAGCAUCUAGAGUUGCCAGGUGUAGUAGUUUCAGUUCACUUCUCUUGUCAUUGUGCUCAAUCCAAUUUAAUGUUUGUCUUGCCCCUUUUUAUUUUCAAAAUGCAGCCAGUUUGAAUGAUCAAUGAUAUGAUCAUUCUAUACUUUUAUCUCCUUUUUUUUUUUGGUAGACUUUAUCAUUCUCUGAAAGUAUUGACCUAUUUUUGAAGGACUUGUGUAGAAUAUUAUCCUCAGUGUCUAAAUUUCCCUCUCCAAAAUUUAUUUAUUUAAUUUAUUUGAAAUGCAAAGAGACAAGUGACAUAAAGAGAGACAACUUUUUUAUCUACUGGUUCAUUCCCCAAAUGCCCAAAACAACCAAGGCUGGGCCAGCCUGAAGCCAGGAGCCCAGAACUCAAUGUGGGUCUCCCAUGUGUGUGGCAGGAGCCCACUCACAUGAACUAUCAUCUGCUGCUACCCAGGUUGCACAUUAGCAGGAAUCUGGAAUUGAAAGUGGAACUGGUAUUUGAACUCAGGCCACAUGAAAUGUGGGCAUCUCAAGCAGGGUCUUAACCCCUUUGUCAAAUGCCAGUUCCUCCUUUUAUCAGGUUUACAUGAAAAUGAAAGAUGUGUGUUUGCUAAUGGAAAGAAGGGAUAUGAGGGAUUGCCCAGCAAGCGGGAAAAGAUUUUUAACUAGCGGGAAAAGUUAGGGAGACUAACUUAUUUUGUAUUUAAACUUUGUGAUUAUCCUAAUGCUUGUCACAUUUACCUCACAUUGUUGCUCCUACUGUUAGAUGUAAAGAAGGAUAUUGUAUUUCUUGAUCAUAGGAGGAGUGAUGGUGGUUUUCUUAUUUCCUUUGGGUUUGAAGCAGGAGACAAACUGAAGAAGUGAGAAAGAAAGAUGAGUUUUGUGGACUGUUUAGGAGGCAGCUUACUCUGCAAAUUCACACGGGAUAUCAGUCAUUUUUCAUUUCGCACAACAGGAGAGAAGAAAGACUCUGCUAGAGUAUCUGUCUCAAGUCAGGGAGCAUGAAGAACAUCUAUGAAGAAGUGUUGCACUGACCCUGAAUCAUUAGAAUCUGUCUCCCCAGAGAUGCCUGUUGUUAAGUUGUACUUGGAGUCUUAAUGAUCUCUGCAAAUUUCCUCAGCAAUAUGGAUCAUGGGAAGUCAACCAUGAUUUUAUCAUUACACAAAGUACAACCCACACACACACUCAGAUCCAGUGUGUGUAGUGUCUGUGCCAGUGAUGGGGAGAAAGAAUCCCAAGCAAAUCCCAGGAUAGAUAGGUAGUCUAUCCUUGCAGAGGAGAUGCAUUCUCAUCUGCAGAGAAGAUGGGGACACUUAAAAUUAUUACCAUAGAAAGAGUUCGAGAAAGGAUCAUGGGGCGGGUGUCUGAUGCUGUGGUAAAUGCAUCCGUUGUGACACCAGCAUCCCAUAUUGAAGUGACUGUGUUCAAGUCCCAGCUUUGCUCGCAAUUCCAGCUUCCUGACAGUGAGUACCCAGGGAAGCAGCAGGUAAUGACACAGGUAGCUGGGUUACUGCCACCCACGUGGGAGACCCUAAUUGAGUUCCACUCUCUUGGUUUCAUUCUAGAUCCAUCCUGACUGUUGUAGGCAUUUAGGGAGUGAACCAGUGGGUGGGAAAAUCUGUCUCUCUGACUUCCAAAUAAAAAUUUUAAAUAUUUUAGAAUAAGAAAAAUGACUAGGAGGAAUUGGAAUCACACCUAAUGUUGGAGGUCAUUCUAGAUAAGAAAAUCAAGCUUGAAUUUUUGUUUAGUGCUUUUCUUGUAAGAAAAAACUAAGAAUAAAUAAGUGACUGAAUGUUAUCUGAUAAGAAGUUCUUGCUUUUUCCUACUUCUGGCAUAGUUCCUCCUACUUUAAUUUUUUUUUUUUUUUUUUUUAAGAGAGAGGACUCAGUAUAGCCGGAAAACAGAUACAUAGGAAAAGGGAUUUACCAAAGGCAACAGAUUUUUUUUUAAGGUGUAAGGUUGAACUAUGCCUUUUGAAAGCCAGAGACAUGCACAGAUUAUUAGGUUAUGGGCACUUGGGCCUUUCUUGUCAAUUUAAUAUUUUUUGAAGUUUAAUGUCUCAGCAGUGAAAGGAAACAGAAGCAGCUAAUUCUGACCCUAAGAGUUCUUUCCUGACCCCUUGAUACCUAGGCACAAUAGGGUGACUUCAGAACUCAGUUAAGGCCUUAAACUCUCUAUUUCCUGUCUUUUGUUAGCUUUAAUCUGACACUUAAACAUACUUCAAUGUGGACUUUUGUGUGGGAAUGCUUUUGAUUUUUUUCCCUCCCAAGAAACCCUAGCCAAGAGACAGAAAACUAGGAUGGAUUUCUAAUCAUAUGUAGUCUGUAUCUUAAGAAGUGAUAUGCUGUUUUUAAAAGUCCUGAGGGCUACACUGUCUUAGGGCAAAUUUGUACUCCCAGUCCUCUGAAGUGUGGAUGUCUCCAUGAGAAACUCACAUACUGAAUGGCUCCAGGGGCCACAUUCUGUUUUCUGUGAAUGGAGGUUGAAGCUGAGGUUCUUGGGUUUGGGAAAGUGAGAACUGUUCCCAUUCUAUGGGAUGGUGUGGACAGCCCUAUCAAAUGCACACAUCUUGUUGGGUGUGCAUCUGUGGGGGCUGGGGAAGGCAAGAGCUCCUGCACAGUUGAGUAAAGUCUCCCCUUGAGCUCCCUGACCUAGUUACCUGGUCAGUCAUUUCAGCCACUCAUCUGUCACCUAUGACUAAUGGGCCAUUAGAUUUGGAAUAUUCUUUUGCUGAUUGUGGUCUGUUUAGCUGCCUUUAUUGGGAGAGGUUCCUAUUUCCACUUUAGUGACUGGGACUGUGUCUGGCAGUGAGGGGAGGAGUGGGAUGAUACAUAGACUUCAGUACAGAGAAUGAUGGAAAAGCAAAUAACAGGCCAGAGUGAGUAACAGUGAUUCAAAGAGUUAAGCAACAGAGUUCACAUUGCAGUAUUAUGACCAUGGGUUUAAUAGAGUGUGAUACAUGCUUGUGACACAGAAGCCUAUAAAUGCUGAAUUACUGAAUGGAAAAAUAUAUUGUUACAAUAUAUCAGUUAUAUUUUAGCACAUAUAUGUUGCAUUUGUUUAUAUGUAUACUUAUAUGUACAUGUGAUUGUGUUCAUAAACUGGAAAAUCAUCUGAUUUAAAGGGCUCACCUUUAUUAUUCUAUUGGUGUUCUAAUUCAGUGUUACCACUUUGACAGAUUUAUCAACUUCAUUUCCACAUUUGUUUACAACUGUCACAUUGUUUAUUGGAAAACAUUCUCUGUAUUCUAUUAACACAUACUCAACUUUUACUAUUUGGUAGUUCAUGCAAAGAUACAAUGUCAGAAGAUACUCCAUCUGAGUGUUAAAACAUAAUUUUGAAAAUAGUAAAAUUAUGACCUAUGUAAAUAUAAAGAUAUAUCAAAGACUGCAUUCACUUAUUAUAAGCAACACAACCAGUAGGAUGUUAAAAUUGGUUCCAAUGAGACUUUGAUUUACAGGAAUUUAUAGGAUUCAGCUGUGUGGUUGUGGUAGGAAUCACUCACAUUGCAAAAUAACUAUACCCACAGAUCUAAAAUAGCCAAGGUGUAUUUUUGUUUUUGUUAUCUUCAAGUCUUGGAGUACAUUUUCUUGAUAAUAGGAUGUAUUGAUUUGUUCAUCACUUCAAAUGUUUUGGAGACUGUAUUAUGAGUGUAAAGUCAGUGUCCAUAGGUGAAUUUGAGAAGGUACCUGUUAUUUAGGAGCUCGUGUAUACACGGAGAAGGGGAAGCACUCAGAUAACUAUAGUUCAUUUGUGAAUGUGAAUAUAACCUUGUUAAGUCAUUCUUUUGUGGAAAGGCCUACAUGACUCUGUAGAAGCAGAAUUGAGCAGAUCUUCCUAGUUAAAAGGUAGAGAAACCCCAUCAGCACAAAGGAACUAGUGACCAAGGAUUGAAAUAUCAGCUUUUCAUUUUAUCUAGGGAGAAAAGAAAAUGAAAAGGCUCAAGGUGAAAAAAGAAAGGCAUAUUUAUGGAAACUGCAAAUAUUGAAAAAUCAGGUACUGGGGAAGAUUGUGCAUGGGUGGUAAAGAUCCUAAGAGGCAGGACUUAACUGAUAAACCAUAGUAUGCCUAAAGAGCUGGAAGACUAGUGCUGAACUUUAAGCAGGAGUGAUCGAAUCACUUCAAUGUUUAAGACCAUACCGUGAAGCAAUUUAAAUCUGUAGCAGGAAAGUUAAAAUGCUAAAACCCAGUUGAGGACUGUGGGGGAGGACAGGACCAGAACUCCUUUCUCCCACCAUUCUAGCACCUUCAGAGUCAUGCUUGAUGCUUGUUUGUUAGCAAAGGGGCUUCUCCUUCAUCUCUGCCCUCUUUUCUUUGUCCCUAAUUUUUUCCCUUUCUCUGCCCUCCUUUCUUCAUUUGUCCCUUCCUUUCCAUCUUUCUCUCUUUCUGACCUUGUUUCCAUGAAGUUUAGUGACUGAGGAAACACCUGUUGCAUGUCUUGUGUUUUGUGAUCCCUUGUGUAGAAUUAGAGUGAUUCUAGGCGGUACUCUGAUUCUCAAGACAGUCCUGGAUAAACAAGAAUACAUUCCUACUCUCUGAUUCUCAUUUUAAAAUCAGCUGCUAAAGCACCAUGACAUCAUCCUAGGCAAGGUAAAUACAACUGCACAGUUUACUGCUUUAUGACUAUGACACGCUGGGCCAGGUUUCCUGAACCCUCUCUGGACUGGACACUCUUUGCUCUCAUUGACAAAGCACUCAGAGGUCACCUCCCAGGAUGAGUUAUUUCCACAGAUGGCUAAUUUGGUCCAUUUGUCUCAACUUGUGCUAAUUUCCUUCCAGAGGAAGAGGGUUUUCUGAUCAUAUUAAUUUUCCAUCUAAGUAGUAGUGGUGGUGGAGGGAGCUAGUAGUGUAUUUAUAUGUAACUUUUUAAAGAUUUAUUUUAUUUAUUUGGAAGAGUUACAAAGAGUGUUAGAGACAGAGAGAGAGAGAGAAAGAGAGAGAGAGAGACCUUCCAUCUGCUGGUUCACUCCCCAAAUGGCUGCAAUGGCUGGAGCUGUGAGGAUCCAGGAGCUUCUUCUGGGUCUCCCACUUGGGUGCAGAGGCCCAAGCACUUUGGCCAUCCUCCACUACUUUCCCAGGUGCAUAAGUAGGGAGCUGCAUCCAAAGUGAAGCAGCCAGGACUCGAACUGAAGCCCAAAUGGGAUGCUGGGGCUACAGGCGUGGCUUUAACCAGUUGCUGCACAGCACUGGCCACUAUAUGUAACUUUCAUUUGUUACCAUGGCUCUAUCAGAAUGCCCAAGUUCAUCAGUGAGAAAGACUUUAUGCAAGUGUCCAGAUAAAUUCAACCUCAUUAAGAUAACCCACAUUGAUGUGUGAAAAAAAAUGACCAGUCCAUUAGAGCUUGAUGGUUUUGGAAAUUAAUAGAUUAUAAAUGAGAAAUAUUGUCAAAUUAUGUAAAUUUGGAGUAUUAUGUAGACGGAAAAACACAAAAGGACCUUUGUUUUUUCCCAAUGUGUCAAAAGAACAUUUAUUACUCUCAUACCAGCUUCUCAUGAUUUCUUACCAGAUGCCUUUAGAGCAGGUGCUUUCUGGGCAGGAGUUUUCUGAAGCUUUGGAGAAUGAGGAGAUGGAGCUACCUUCUGGUCUGUCAUUUUCUGGGCAGGAAUUUCCUGAGCUGUAGAUUUUUGGGCUGUGGCCGUCUUGUGUGUAUGUAUGGUCACUUUUUUUUUUUUUUUUGGUGGAGUUUUAGUAGCUACAGCAGCAGCAACAGCUGAACAGAUACAGCACACAAAAGAAAUUUAAUAGGAAGGUGUUUGAUCAAUGAGUACCUACUUCACAGAAAAAUAAAAUCACUUUUCACUCUAUGAUAAGGUAACAGUAAUUCUAGGCUCAUCUAAAAUAAUGACCUCAUGGUUGUGAUGGCUAUGAAAUGCUCAUUUCAUAACUAUUCUAGAUUCAGUUUUGUCCAUGUCUGAAUUAGGGAGUCAGAGUAGAGUAGGCAUAGAGGUGAGCUAAGCCUUCAAACAUUAUAAUGUUAUUGUCACGUUAUUCUAAGUACAACAGUUAAAAAAAAACCACAUUAUUCCUAGCAGAGAAAAACAUGCAAGUAAUAUGUGCUUGUGAUACAAAGAUAACACCCGAAAUCAAAGUAAGUAGGAUUGUAACAGCAUGACAUUCAGUGGUACAGAGCAUUGUAAGGUAAUCGUGGAACUUCCCUUCCAUAGCUUCAGGACUCUUAGUUCCAUUAAUUUUUUUUUUUCCUCAGAGGUAAUUAAGGUUAAUUUCUUGUCUCUUUCUGAAGCUUUUCUUAGGGCAUUGUGUUAAUUAAGGUUCUCUUGGUUUCAGGCCAACAAAGCAAAGUAAAACAAAACAACUUUCUGGCUGACUUAAGCCACAAAAGAGAAUUCACUAGGAGGAUGGAAGAAUACCAGAGUGUUUUGAGGAAUUUGAGCAAGACUAACCCCUGUAGACUUUGGAAAUGGUAGGCUAAAGGAAAGUUAGGAGACAUCGCAGCACCGUAUGCCAGAGGAUGCCACUGAUGUGAGUUGACUACAAAGCCUCUGGCACUUCUUUAAAUUUCAAAUAUGAUUGACCAAGCUAGAUUGGGCCUGAGAGCUGUGGUAUAGCUGGAUAUGUAGGGAUUAAGGAAUGGGCAAAUCUCACAGGGCAGGAAGCUGAGGAAAUUGUCUGGUAAGAGCGAAUGGUAUCUUGGAAUACAGAAACUCCAUAAAGUGUAUUGUACAUAAGUAUAUCUCUUUUUACUGGCAAACUAAACACAGACCCAUAGUGGAUGUGCUGAAUUCUGAAUUGAAUAUCUUUUACAUUUUAAUUUUCAUUGAGGUCAGGGAUGCUUUUCAUAAUUGAUGCUAUUUCAGCAUUAGCUAUAGUUUCAUAGACCCAUUUUUCUUUCUCUGUUGCUUAUAAAAUAGCAAAGUUUCUCCAUUUUGGCCUUCCAGUGACUUCUGCACAGGUGGCAAAAAUACUGUUUGCUCCUCAGCCAAGUGUCAGUUAUAUUAGAAUUGCACACCUGGCACUGUUUUUGAGAAUCCCUAAGAAUUGAUGCCUGAAAUUAUGUUCAUAGAAAAGCCUCUUAGCUAAUACAAAUAGAUCAAAUAUUAUAGAUAAACCCUAUGGGGCUUUAUAUUAAGAGCAAAAUACAAUGCUUGGUGCUUUGGGUUAGAAUAAAAUGAAGCUAAUCUCAUUAUGAUAAGAUAAUUACAGAUCGAGACCAUGAUUUUGAUCUAGCCUCAGUAACAGUGAAAGAAUAAAUCCCUCUUGUUGGGAAGCAUCAUUUUGUGGUUAUUUUUUUUUUUACAACAGCUCCUGCAAACUGACAUCCCCUUGGAGAAGUAUAUCAUCCUAUUAUUCUUAUUUGCUUAAUUUAAAUGAGUAUACAUUUAUUUUAAACUGAUAACAUUAUAGCUUUUAAAUCAUGUAUGACAUGAUAUAUUGAAAUAUGUAUACAAAGAGGAUCUGCUAAAUCUAGCUAACAAAUGUAUUAUUCCACAUAGUAAUUUUUGUGGUGAGAGCACCUAACAUCCAAUUCAUAUCCUGCAAGAGUAGAACAUAUAUCCUUCUCAACUGGCUAUGGAGUUACAUACUGACAAUCCAUCGUAAGUUGAAAAUGCAUUUGAUGUAAGUAAACUACCAAACACCGAAUAAUAGCCUAUUGUACCUUAAACAUGCUCACAACAUUUCCAUUGACCUCAGGUUGGGCAAAAUCAUCUAACACAAAGUUUAUUUUAUAAUAAAGUUUUGAAUAUCUCAUGUAUUUUAUUGCAUACUGUAGGUACAGUAUUUUUUCCACAUCCUAAUACUUGUUAUCUUUUAUCUUUUUAAUAAUAGUCAAUCUAAUUGGGAUGGGGUGAUAUCUGAAUGCAAGAUUGCCACAAAAUAUGUGGAGAAAGGAGGUGGAUGUUUGGCAACAAGGUUAAGAGGCUACUUGGAUGCCCACCUCCCCUAUUGGAACACAUGGCCUCUUUUGCUUCCAGUUUCCUGCUAAUACACACCAUCGGAGGCAGCAGUUAAAUUAAUGAAGACUUAGGAAAGUUGAUUGUCUUACUCAAAUCCGGACAGUUGGUCAUUGACAGGACAAGAAUACACAUCUCCUAACUUCCAGGAGCCAAGAGGACAACAUUCACCACAGUUAGGCAACUUAAAUAAUGUUGCCAAAGUUCUUUACAUUCAUUAUAAAAUGGUAAGUAAAGAAAUAAACAUCGCUACAGUUACCAUGGAGUUAAACUAAAAUUUCAACAUAUCCUGUUGAAAGGGCUUGAUCUCUCCACUUCAGAUGUAAUUACCAACGUAAAGAUUGUGGUAGGAGAGACGCCUGGGAAGGAGUCAGCUUUUGUGCUUUUGUGAACCCUGGACAUCUAAGAGUUGCAAUGUCAUUUCAUACAUUUAUUAAUUUUGGGCUGGGUAUGGUUUGGAAAGACUGUAUGAUUAGACUGGCUAAUAUGGAGGCAAAAGAAACUAUUUUUCCUUCAUCCUUUGGGGUGAUGCAGUAUAUACAAAACUACUUUUUUAGUGAUUUUUUGAGUACAGUUUUGUCCUUGAAUUCAAAUGUGAGUCAACUGAAAGAAAUAUUAACUGGAAACAUUUUGGAAUAAUGCUAACACAACACAACUUCAAGACUAAUAGAAUUCAUUUGAUACUGAGUCACAUACGACUGGUGCCUUUUAUAUUGUUAAAAGAGCUUCCGUGCUAUAAGUGGAAUUUUUCAAAGCUUCACUUGAUUGGAUGAGUAGCCAAGAUUAUAAGGACAGCUUUUGUCCUUUAGUAGUUUUUUUUAAUAUUUUGUUGCGCAUUUCCCUAUUUUAAAGAAGACUUUUUACUCUGUAACUAUAAAAGAUAAAAGAAAGGCACCAGUUCUAGUCCCAGUUGCCACUCUUCCAAUCCAGCUCUCUGCUGUGGCCUGGGAAAGCAGUAGAAGAUGGCUGAAGUGCUUGGGUCCCUGCACCCACAUGGGAGACCAGGAAGAAGCAUCUGCCUCCUGGCUUCGGAUCGGCGCAGCUCUGGCCUUUGUGGCCAUUUGGGGAGUGAACCAACAGAAGGAAGACCUUUCUCUCUGUCUCUCUCACUGUUUGUAAUUCUACCUGUCAAAUAAAUAAAUAAAUAAAUAAAUCUUUUAAAAAAGAUAAAAGAAAAAUAUAAUCUCAUAUCUUGAUAUUAAUUCAAGGAUAUCAUUAUCUGAUGUAUUUUCACAAUUUUAACCUUGAACUGACAUGACUUUAUUGGAGAAGACCAGAGAUAUUUUAGUUGGCUUCAUUACUGAGAGAAUGUUUGGGGCUGGCCAACGACUCAUAAUACUUUGAGGAUGCCUUAAAUAAAUAUUACAAGAGGAUUAGAUUACAGAUAGAAUUUUUCUCCUCAAAACUGGGAUUUUACAUUUCAAAUUUUUCCUCAUGUAUCUAAAUGACCCAAAUAAUAUAUUGGCUAAUGGGUUGAAGUAAAGAAAGAUAGCUUGGUGAACUACCAACUAACAUGUAACCGCAACACCAGUAGGCAUGACUCAUUUGGGUAUUGUAAGCAUUACGUCCUGUGUGUUUUAUGAUAACAAUGCUAGGAAAACCAACAUUUGUGCAACAUGUAGCCUGGUUGGUAAGUAGAUUUAAUUAUAUUUUGUGAGAUUUAGUAUUUGGGGUUGGUGUGGUGAAUUGCAGUAGUGUAUUUACAAUGUAUGUUAGAAUAAAUUUUAUUACAUUAUGAAUUUCCUAUAAGUCUUUUCUUACAUAAUCAUCUGUAAUCUAAAAAAAGUUCAGAGGAUGUUUUUCCAUUACGAAAGCCAAUUAAAUUGAAAAUACAAGCAUAAUAGAAUUCUCUGAAUAUCAUAGCCUAUUUGGAUGGGAGUGGCUUCUUACAGAUAAACAUGAGAUCAAAGGGCAGAGAUGAAAGUGCUUUAUAGUCAUAAUUCUUAUUUUUCUAUGAAUAUUUAGAUCCUUGAUACUCAGAGUAUGGUCUGAGGACUGGUAACAUGGACACCUCCUAGGAGCUUGUCAGAAAUGCAUAAUCUCAGUUCUCACACUAGAUUCCAAAUUAGAAUUAAAUAAGAUCCCUAGGUAAUUCACAUCCAUGCUAAAUUUUUAGAACUGCUGAUAUGUAGAGCUUUUUUUCUUUAAAGGUCUUUGGAAGUAGACACACAGAAUUUCACUAUUUGAUGAUGUAAUGGAAUGGAGUAAGACACCCUCCUCCCUUCCUAUAGGAGCAGAGUUAUGAGUCCAAAAGCAUGUGUAUAGAACUGAUGGCUCCAGUCCAUAUGGAUAAAAUAAGAGUUUUUCUUUAUUACUGUGGUUACUCUUGUAACAUUAGGCAAGUUUUGAAGUAGUGUGAUGUCCCUUAACACCAACAGGCUAGUAUUUUUUCCUUCCUUCCUUCCUUCCUUCCUUCCUUCCUUCCUUCCUUCCUUCCUUCCUUCCUUCCUAUAUUUCUUUCUAUCUUUUCUUUCUUUCUUUUUUUUUGGGGGGGGGGGCCCGGGAGCAGGGUCAAGUUUGUGGUAAUAAAAUAAACUUGUUUUCUCAUGGUAGAUUGCAUUGUGCUAUUUCUGGUAAACAGCAAUUUUUCCUUUGACAAGAUGUGUUUGCUUCCUAGGUAAUUAACAAGAAAAUUAACUUCAUUAAUCCACAUUCAAGAGAUUGAAGUGGAUUUAUGCAUUCUACUUUAGGCAUAGAACUUAUUCCUAUAACUUUUUUGGGGGUGACAACAACUUCGAGGGCUGGCUGCAUCUUGGGUUCUUGGGAAUUAUGGAAUUGUACUCAAAGGGAAUAUGAAAUUCUCCAAUUUUUGUGACAAGUUAAGAGUUUUCUCAGGUAUUGAAUAGAGAAACAAGGAGCCAGCAUUCGACAAAUAGGAAUUGAUUUUGAAUUUGAAAUUUGAAGUAUAAGAACUUAAAGCUAGCAUUGUGAGGGCAGUUUGAAGGAAUAAAGAAAGGAGAGAAGUCCCAAAUGAGAACAUUCAAAAGAGUUUUCUACUAGUUAAUGGUUUUUGACUUUUGUUAGAAUUGCCUGGGAAGCUUUUAAAAUUUCUAAUUUUUAGAUUGCCCCCAGAUCAAUUACAUUAGAAUCUCUGAUAGGACUUAUAUAUCAGACUUUUUUUUAUUUGUUUGUUUGUUGUUUUAAAUUUCUAGGUCAUUUGAUUUUGUAACUAAGAUUCAGAAUCAUGGAAAAUCCAAGUUUGUGAAGUUCCCUGCCCUUAUGUGUUUCAUGUAGGCAGAAAGUGUUAUAACAUCUUGAUCAUUUGAAGAAAGACUAAGGAAUAAAUGAGACAAGGAGAUUCUUCAGGGAAUCAGUAGGCAAAUCUGUGCCUGGACACCAGAGACAGAAUGACCAAAUUCUUUGGUAAUGUUUUUCAUUUCCUCUUCUCAACUUCUAUAAUGUAGCAAGAAUACCGUGAGUUGAGUGUGGUAGCUAGCCUCCAAGGUAGCCGUCAGUGACACUUUUCUCCUAAUAUUCAUACCCUUCAAUAAUUCUCUCCAUGUUGAAUCACUCUGGGCUGACUUGUGUGAUCCAUUGCAUAUGCUAGAAGUGAUGGUGUGGGACAUUCAAGUCUAGGUUGUAAAAGGUAUUACAACUUUUAAUAUCUUGGAUCACUAGUUCUACCAGAAGUCAGUCACUACUGGUGUGAUAACACUCAAGAAGUCUUAUGGAGGGAGAACAAUUUGCCAGCCAUUUCAGUAAGGCACUUUUGAAAUGAAUCAUCUAGCACAAUGAAUUUGUUCAGAUGACUGUAGCCCCUGCGAAUAUCUAAUUACCACCUUAUGAGCGAUCAUAAGCCAGAACUAUUCUAUUUAGCUCAUCCUGAAUUCCUGGCCCACAGAGCACAUGAAAUACUGAUUAAUGUUUUUAAGCUAAUCAAAUUUGGAAUGAUUUGUUACACACAGUAAAUAAUUAAUACAGCAGGGCUUAUUCAAAUUCUGACUACCUCAUGAAGCCAUAUUUAUAGGUCACUUCUCCUGCAUGAAAACAGAGCGAAUAUUUAAACAAAAACUUACUUUUAACUCUAUUUUAAAUUAUGUUGGCUACUCUUUUAACCAACUACUUAAGAAUAUGGCAAAAAUUAUUGUGUAAUUAAACCUGUAGCCUUUCAACAAGUCUUUUUUUUUAAAGAUUUAUUUAUUUAUUAAAAGUUAAUUACACACAGAGAGAAUGAGAGAGAGAGAGAGAGAGAGAGAGUCUUCCAUCCACUGGUUCACUCCCCAAUUGGCCACAAAUGGCUAGAACUGCACCUAUCCAAGCCAGGAGUCAGGAGCUUCUUCUGGGUCUCCCAUGUAGGUGCAGGGACCCAAGGAUUUGGGCCAUCUUCUACUGCUUUCCCAGGCCAUAGCAGAAAGCUAGAUGGGAAGUGGAGCAGUCAGGAUUCAAACCAGUGUCCUUAUGGGAUGCGGGCACUGCAUGUGGCAGUUUUACCUGCUGCGCCACAGCACUGGCCUCUCAACAAGUCUUAACAAGUAACUGAAUAGUAUUUGACCUAUAGAAUAACAACAUUCAGUAGAACUUUCUGCAAUUAUGGAAAUUUGUGUGUAUCUGUUGCACAGCAUAGUAGUCACUAACUACUAUUGAGUCUUGAAAUCAAGGUAGUGCAAUUGAGGGAUUGAAUUUUUAAUUAUAUUUAAUUUAAAUCAUGACUAUCAGCUUGACAAAACAGUUCCAUACAGUUCCUGGGAUGAAUGCAGAGAUGAUUUAAAAUUCUGCCCUAGUUUGUAAAUUGUGAAUUGAGAAUAAGUGGAAAAUUCAGCAAUGGGGACAGUUUAUCUAUGGUACAGUCAAUAAAAAAUUAAAUCCCAUUUAAAAAGUUUUAUUGAUUUAUUUUACUUAUUUGAGAGAAGUGUGUGUGUGUGUGUGUGUGUAAGAGAGAGAGACAGACUGAAAGGGGGAGAGAGAGAGAGGAAGGAAAGAAAAAUGAAAGGGAGACAGACAGAUCUUCGAUCUGCUGGUUCACUGUCCAAAUGCCUGCAACAGCCAGGGCAAGGUCAGGCUGAAGUUAGUGAACCCAUCUUUCACGAGGUGGGGCAGGACCCAAAAGCUUGUGCUAUCACUUGCUACUUCCUUGGAAGCUGGAUUCAAUAGUGGAGCCAGGACUCAUAUGGUAUGUGGGCAUCCCAAGCACAAUUUUAACAGGCCAAUUGCCUGCCUCAAAAUACAUCUUAUUUUAUAACCAAAUAUUUGUGCCUUGGAUGGAAAAGAUGAGAAACCAUAAAGAAACUUAUCAUAAAAGAUGGUGUAGAUUCAAGGUAUAACAGAAUUAAGAAUCUAACAAUAAAAGUUGUUUUGGAAUUUGAGAGGAAUUUUGAGUCACUGCCAAGAACAAUUAUUUGUAUCAUACAUGCUGAGCUACUCUCCAGCUACUGUAUUAUUUCUAUCUCUGAAUAUUGUCAUGUAUGUACACACUAGAACAUAUGUUUAGGAAGAGUUCUACACAAUUUACCACCAACAUAACUGAUUUAUAAUGUCUAUUACCUGAUGAUUAUGCUGUUAUUUAUGAUAGUGUGAUGAUGAUUAAAUAUAUUUAAAUCAAGCUAAUUUAUUAAGUUUACUUAGUCUCUGGUGUUUACUUAAUUGUUUAUUUAUUUUUUUAUCUAAUCAAAGCAAGUAGUCAAGUUAGAGGACCAGAAAUUCCUGACUCCCUUUUUACCUAACUCUUCCUUAUUCAAAAUUUUUAGAUACUGUACAUGGAAAACUGUGGGGAGACUUAAGUAUUAUAACCUGAAUUUUAUUUAAAAUGCACACUAAAUAGUGAUACUGUAUGGUCAUCAAAUCAUAUUUUAAUAGGAAAAAUGAAAGCACUUACUGUUAAAUUUAACUUUGGUGGUUGGGUGCCUUUUGAUAAAGAUAUUUGUGGCCAUAUAGACAUCAAUGAAUACCACUUUUGAAUGAAUCUACUUUCUUAUUUUGAAUCUGUUUAUACUAUGAAGCUGAGUUCAGUUUGGUCUAGAGCUUCACCUUACAUACACUGUUUGUUUUAAAAGUUUAUCCUUACAUAGUAAACUAAAACCUAACGUAUUGUAUAAAUAGAUUAUCAUCUACCAUUGUAAUAGGUAAUUGAAUCUAAGUCAAUCAUAUGACUCUAAUUGGUCAAAAAACAUUUAAAUAAGACAGAUGUGAACUGCAACCAAGCAGGCUGUCUCUGCCUCACUUCCAUUUUCUAUAUGUCACUUCCUUUUCUCUAGUUAUAAAUCUAACCUGCGCCUAUUGUGGGGCAGAGUGGCCUUGAACCUAUUCUGGUUCUGUGGCUUUCAGUUGGGUAAAUUGUUUAUUGCCCAGUUAAACUGUUGAAUUUAAUAUGUCUAAAAUUUUUCACUUAACAAUAUUAAUCACUAAACUUUUCUGCUUAUUAUUACAAAAAUAGUAUGAGAUUAAUUUGAGAAAAAAAAUCAAACAAGUAGAAAAAAAUUCACCAACAACCUAUUCCUUAUGAUGAUCCAAGUUGUGUUUACACCACACAUUUUCAUAGAAAUGUUUUCUGAACUAUGUUUAUACAUACACACACAGUUUAUAAAAUGAGUUCAUAUCCUAUAUACUUGCUUAAAGUUUUCAUUUAAAAAAUCCAACAGUCAUUUUGUGCCACUAAAUAUACAAUAGUUAUUUUAUUUAAUGCUAAAUACUGAAAUAAUGUUUAAUAAUUACCAUGUUUUUGAGAGUAUUUAAUAUAUAUUUGUGUAUAUAUUAAUAUUAUAAUUCCAAAAUGUGCAUUCUAGAAACAUGUCUUAUACUUUUUCAACAAAUCAUAAUUCUACCAAAAUGGGGAAAAUAAUAACUCAAAACAAUGAGAACCUCUUUUUGUUUGAGACAAGAGUCAGAUGUACACAGAUAUUCCAUCUAAGGAUGUGGACUUGCUGCAGAGAACUUAGUCUUUCCCUGAGUACUGAAGGAGAGAGCAUCACAUUGUUUGGAAAAUGUUUGAAAUGUGAAGUCACUGAAACAUAUGUUACUCCACCAAUCUCUCAGGGUCUACCAGAAUGAUUUUUCUUUUAAUUCUGAAGUUUUAAGGGUUCAGUAUAGAGUGUUUGGGAUGGAAGAGUUAAAAAUCUUCAUUCUUCCUUUGCCUAUCUUAAUACCUCUGCUUCUUCCUGGUCUUUCCUGCCCUAUUCUAAAAUGAACUGUUUUCAUCUGAAUUCUCCUGGGGGAACCCAAACAUAUAGUUUUGAAAGAGUGUUUGACAUAAGAAUAAGAGCAAUUAAGGCAUUUUUUGGAAACACAUUGAUAAGUGAUGAAGAGAAAAGGAAACUAUUUUGUACCACUUAACUUCAUUAAAACGCAUUUUUUUCUAACUGGAACAAGUAGACUAAAUACUUUGAGGAAAUGUUGAGUAAUUGAGUGACUUUGAGGCCUUAGGCAUACAUUGACUAAAUAUUUUUUCCUCAUUCCACCCACAUGUCUCUAUGCUAGGGUUACAUUAUAUCUUGGGAUCCAUUUUAGGCACUGUGGAUGGGCACUGUACUAAUAAAUAUUGAUGAAGUCUACACUCAUAAGCAAGGGGUAGGUAGAAAACUACAGAUAAAGUGAACAAUUAAUGAACUUUGUAGGAUGAUGUAUGGUAUCUACUGUGAGACAGUUACACUCUAGUUGUUUUUUUUUUUUUUUUUUUUUUGACAGGCAGAGUGGACAGUGAGAGAGAGACAGAGAGAAAGGAGAAGGUCUUCCUUUUGCCGUUGGUUCACCCUCCAAUGGCCGCCACGGCCGGCGCGCUGCGGCCGGCGCACCGUGCUGAUCUGAUGGCAGGAGCCAGGAGCCAGGUGCUUAUCCUGGUCUCCCAUGGGGUGCAGGGCCCAAGCACUUGGGCCAUCCUCCACUGCACUCCCUGGCCACAGCAGAGAGCUGGCCUGGAAGAGGGGCAACCGGGACAGAAUCCGGCGCCCCGACCGGGACUAGAACCCGGUGUGCCGGCGCCGCAAGGCGGAGGAUUAGCCUAGUGAGCCGCGGCGCCGGCCACACUCUAGUUUUUAAGGAAUAUCAGAGAAUAAAAUUUCUGAUAAACAUCUGAACUAUGAAAUUUUUGUAUUAGCCUUCAAACAUGAUGAUAAGACAUUUCAUGGGAUAAUUGACUUUAAUUUUUUAGUAUAAUACAAUCUUGUACAAUGGAUUAUCAUGUAUAUAAUUUAUAAACCUUUGGUGAUGAUGUUGAUCAGCUCUACAAGUUAGUAUACCUUAAUUCAAGAUAAAUCUUGUGAAAUAUAUAUGAUUAUGCAGUUGUUGGAAUCUCUGGAGAAUAGAAAACUCAGUGGGUAAAAUUCAUUUCAAUUAUUUGAAUGCCUCUGGCAAUUAUUUUUGCAAGGACACCAUAGUUAGAUGGUGAAUUAAAUGAGAGCUGUUGAGAUUUAUUGCAUAUCUGUUAUGCAUUGGUAAAUGGCUCUCAUUUUUGAAUGUAGUUUAAGUAGGCUAUCUUAUUUUCCUUUUUGGCUCAGUGUUUCUGCUGAUAAUUUUGAUAGAGUGUUAUAAAUGAGAUGCAUAGGUUGGAUAUAGAGCUACAACUAUAAGGGACAGGCCCAAGAAUAAAGGUGAUGUCAACUGACAGGCACAUCAGGGCAAACAAUGAAAUGAGAGUAAGCAGAGACAAGUUUUGAGUUCUGUUUAGGCUCAGAAAGUCAGCUGCAUGAGAGUGAGUUGGCUUGGCUACAGUACAGAUGGCAAAGUUCUGGGAUUUCUAUCUGAUGACAACCAUAACAUAGGCCAAUGAUAUGAUGUGGCUGUUAGAAAAAUAGACUAACACAAUCUUAGGCUGCCCUAAUGAAAUACUGUGCCUAGCACAGUAGGAGCAAUAGAAAAAACAAUUUCCCCAAAUUCUGUUUUACUGAGAUGAUUUAUGAAAUAAAGUGUCAAACACCUUGCAUUAUGUUUUAAGACUUUCUUUAUUGGUGCAUAUUCAGGAGAAGGCACAGUAUUCAAAAAUCAUAUCUUUUGAGACAAAACUGAAAAUAAAGGGUAUGAGGUUUUCCUGUAGGAGAAAAGACCAAGGAGAUAUCUGUAGAGUUCCUUUGUCCAUGUGGCAAAAUUUUAUGUUUAAUAAGCCAAAGAAGAUCAAUAUAGAGUAUCAACUUGAGGCUAGAAAGAUGAAGAUUUUUCUCUAAUAUAAAAAAAAAGUGUUACUCAAAACACAGCUAACAUGUGAAGGUGGAAUCCCUUAUACCAAAGUCAUAUAAUCCCAAAGAUUCAUCUUAGAGUGGGGACUUGAUCAGAAGGUAAUCAGUUAUCUCUAAUCGCAUAAAUGUAUCCCCAAAUUUACAGGGUUAAACGAUGAUUUUAUUUUAAUUACCCAUUUCUGAAUCAGGGAUUUAGAAUUUGUCUGUGUAAUUCUCACUUGAGAUGUCUCAUGUGGUUGCAAUUAUAUACCAACUGAAGCCGCAACCAUAUGAAGAGUUUAUUGGGUUGGAUGUCAAAGGUGAUUCUCUCACCACGUAGGUGGGUUUUGCUAAAUAAUUGGUUUAGAGUUCAGCUCAAGCAGUCAAGAAGAGGAAGUACAUGGGACCUCUUUCUGUGUCCUCCACUUCCUUUACUUUUAAAAUUUAUUUUUUAUUUAUUUGAAAGACAGUUGCAGAGAGAGGAGGAAGAGAGAGAGAGAGAGAUAGAGAGAGAUUGAUCUUCCAUCUGCUGGUUCACUUCCCAAAUACCCACAAUGGCUGGGGCUGGACCGAAGCCAGGAGCCUAGAGCUACUUCCAGGUCUCUCUCUUGGGCACAAAACCCCAAGCACUUGUGCCACGUUCUGUUGCUUUCCCAGGCAUAUUAAUAUAGAGCUGGAUAAGAACUUGAGCAGCUAGGUCUCAAACCAGCACCCAUUUGGAUGCUGGCAUCACAGGCAGAGACAACCUGCUAUGCAACAAUGACAGACCCCUCCACUUCCUUACACCAUGAUUGUUUCAGGGUAGUAGGGCUUCUUAACAUGGUGACUCAAGUUUAUAAAUGCAACUGUACCUCUGCACAGAGACUAGAAGUAUUAGCCCUAUGAUGUAAUGUUAGGUAUAUAUGACAUCACUUUUCCUGAAUUAUAGCAUUUGCAAGUGAGUCAGAAACCCAUAUACAUACAUGAAAGGGAGACAUGGAUCUACAUUUGAUGGAAGCAAUGUCCAAAAUUUGCAAAUAUUUAAUUAAACAGUCACAAAUUACCUCUUAAUUAAAUUGAAACUGGAAGUCUCUAAUUUUAUGAAAUUUAUUUAGUGAUGAUAAGAUUUUCAAAGGUGAUAGGGAAUUUUGAUACCUUCUAAAAUUUGAGAUUGCUAUCAGGCACUUCUUCAAAUCAUUCAUGAGUAUUAUCACACAAAGCAAUUUUAGUUUGCUUUAACACAGAAGCAUAUUGGAUAUUAUGUAAAAUACACAGCUACAAUUUUGAGUUCUCCUAAGUAAUUCGCUGGAAAUUAUGACUUUAAAUAUAUAAAAUACUUUUAAAGCAAUUUGAUAAAUUGGGAAAGUUUAGCAGGUUUACAUCAGUGGGGAAGCCAUGAUGAGAAAGGCAUGCAAAUGAGGUCAGACAAUGUGGAGCUUCUACACUUGUCUUGUUGGGUAGAAAUAUCUAUUGGAUUUUUUUAAAUGAAUGUGUUAACUGUGUGGUGACAGAUAAACUGGAAGUGCUGUUCCUUAUAGGCAUAUGUAGUUAAUGCUCAUCGGGAUAAAGGCAUAACCCUUAGUGGAAUCUCAAAUCAAAUAACUACUCAAGGCAGUGUAUAUGUGCUGGUUUCCAUUACUUAGUAUCUAGUUAAUUCCUAAGCACCUUGAUUCAGAUUGAACUAUGGCUCAUAUUUGCCCACUGGUGUUUGGAGAACCCUUUGGGUUCCCCUGGUAUCUGAUUUGGAAUGUAUCUCAAAUCUACUUCUGCUGCU
Non-coding RNA from Oryctolagus cuniculus (rabbit), 38000 nucleotides. Lineage: Eukaryota; Metazoa; Chordata; Mammalia; Lagomorpha; Leporidae. The record is from RefSeq and is a predicted model, not a curated record.